UCGUAUGGGCCUUAUGAUUGGGCCCAUUAGGAUUUAAUUUUGGACUUGUUUUAGCCCAUUUUUAAUUUUUUUUUAAUAUUAAUAAAAUAGUAAUAAUAAAAUUUUGAAAAAAACAAAAACAAAAAAUACAAAUUACAUUUUAGCCCCUGAAUUUUUCAAAAAUUACAUUUUGACCCCUAUAUUUUUUUCUAAAUUUACAUCUUAACCCCUAAUAAUUUGUAAAUUACAUUUGGGCCCCUAAACUUUCUAAAAAUUACAUUUUGGCCCCAUAUUUUCCUAAAAUUGCACUUUUACCCUAGAAAUUUCACAUCUUCUGCAGUUUGGUCCUUCUGGACUUGUCAAAUCGCCGCAAUCAGUAGUCGAGCGUGCUUCUCCCACCUCCAGCUACUCCAGCAGCCUCCCUAGGCCAUGAUUGCUCCACUGCCACCUGAAAACAAAGAAGAAGAAGACAAAAUUGAAGGAUUUAAAAGAAGAAAAUGAGAGAAAGAGAGGGGGAUUCAUUUUCGGGCAGCAAAAAAAUAGUAGAGAAAUUUCAAAAAAAAACUUUCGAAUCCAGUUGAUUCCCCCACCGUCACCACAACCACCGCCACCGCAGCACCGUCGUCGUCAACACCUACAACCCAAACAAGCAAAGCAACAAGCAAAACAAAGGAAAAUAAAAACAGCAACUGAAACCAAAAAAAAAAGAGAAAAUAAGAGAAGAAAAAAGAAGAAGAGAAGAGCAGAUGCCGAAGACAGUCGCACCGAGCGAAGGAAGCGGCGACGGCGAGGAAGAGCAAGGUCGAAGGGAAGGAAGAAGAAGAGAAGAAAGAAGGAAAAAAAGAAAAAAAGAAAGAAGAAAGGGAAAGAAAAAAAGGGAAAAAAAGAAAAAAUAGAAUAGUCGGGUCGACCCGACCCGAUUCGCAACCCGAGCCACUGACCCGACCCACGGCAGCAGCCCUAGCAGCAAGCCAACAGCAGGCUAAGCCCACUCCCAGCAACACAACUCAAGCAGUCCAAAGCAAAAAAAAGAAGAAGGCAAAAGCAAAAAAAAAGGAAGCAGGCCAACAGCAGCCCAAUAGCAGGCCCAGAAGCAGUCCAACAGGCCCAAUUCAGCGCCAGGCCCAACAGAAGGCCUAGCAGGCCAGGCAACCCAACAGCCAGCCGCCCAGC
RNAcentral lists this long non-coding RNA (1152 nucleotides) under Gossypium raimondii (Peruvian cotton). RNAcentral describes it as "long non-coding RNA (GRAI_LNC004698)". The record is from RNAcentral. Lineage: Eukaryota; Viridiplantae; Streptophyta; Magnoliopsida; Malvales; Malvaceae.